GCCUGCCAGCAAUUUCCGCCCCUCCAGCUAAACGUGAAGAACAGAGGUUCGGAACCAAUGUGUCGCGCUUUCUCCAGAGUCGGUCGGUUUAGGACUCUCUUUCCCGUCGCGGCUUGUGUGGAGUCAGUUCGCGGGUCUGGGAUACCCGAAAAUUGAGAGCUUCUUCGCUCCCCGGCAGCUGCCCCCGACGGCUCUGCGGCUGUCACCAUGCCACAAAAUGAAUAUAUUGAGUUACACCGGAAGCGAUAUGGCUAUCGUUUGGAUUACCAUGAGAAAAAAAGAAAGAAAGAAGGUCGAGAGGCUCAUGAACGUUCAAAGAAGGCAAAAAAGAUGAUUGGUCUGAAAGCUAAGCUCUACCAUAAACAGUGCCAUGCUGAGAAAAUACAAAUGAAAAAGACUAUCAAGAUGCAUGAAAAGAGAAACACCAAACAAAGAAUGAUGAAAAGACUCCACAAGGAGCAGUACCUGCAUAUCUACUGGACAGAGAGGGACAGUCCCGAGCUAAAGUACUUUCCAAUAUGAUUAAACAAAAACGAAAAGAGAAAGCGGGAAAAUGGGAAGUUCCUUUGCCCAAAGUCCGUGCCCAGGGAGAAACAGAAGUAUUAAAAGUGAUUCGAACAGGAAAGAGAAAGAAGAAAGCAUGGAAGAGGAUGGUCACUAAAGUCUGCUUUGUUGGGGACGGCUUUACUCGAAAACCACCUAAAUAUGAGAGAUUCAUUAGACCAAUGGGCUUACGUUUCAAAAAGGCCCAUGUAACACAUCCUGAAUUGAAAGCCACCUUUUGCCUGCCAAUACUUGGUGUAAAAAAGAAUCCUUCAUCCCCACUAUAUACAACUUUGGGUGUUAUUACCAAAGGCACUGUAAUUGAGGUGAACGUGAGUGAGUUGGGCCUUGUGACACAAGGAGGCAAAGUUAUUUGGGGCAAAUAUGCCCAGGUUACCAACAACCCUGAAAAUGAUGGAUGCAUAAAUGCAGUCCUGCUGGUUUGACAGCAGUUUCAGAGAAGUAAUUCCUUAUAAUUACUUAAGAUUACACACCGAUCAGGAAGACCACCAUUACUGUGGUGGUUCUGAAUACUACCAAACAGCCUUACGUGUCUACAGUCAUCAAGAGAAGUAUUUAUUCUAUUGUGAAAAACAUUAAAAUAGACAUUUAUUAAAAUAAAUGGUCUUUA
Odobenus rosmarus divergens (Pacific walrus) is the source of this 1174-nucleotide RNA transcript. It is a transcript of the gene named ribosome biogenesis protein NSA2 homolog, with no coding region annotated. The record is from RefSeq and is a predicted model, not a curated record. The transcript has a single exon. NCBI's taxonomy places the organism in Eukaryota, Metazoa, Chordata, Mammalia, Carnivora, Odobenidae.